Molecule: ribosomal RNA, 637 nt
Filed under: Dentiscutata heterogama
Lineage: Eukaryota; Fungi; Glomeromycota; Glomeromycetes; Diversisporales; Gigasporaceae
Description: eukaryotic LSU rRNA
Rfam family: Eukaryotic large subunit ribosomal RNA
Source: RNAcentral
CCUAGUAACGGCGAGUGAAGCGGGAAGAGCACAAAUUUAAAAUCUACCUGGUUUCCAGGUCGAGUUGUAAUUUGAAGAAACGUUUUUGACGUUCCGGGUUGGGAUAAAUCCUUUGGGAUGAGGUAUCAUGGAGGGUGAGAAUCCCGUGUAUACCAACCGCAGGGAUGUUAUUUAAUACGUUUUCUAAGAGUCGAGUUGUUUGGGAAUGCAGCUCUAAAUGGGUGGUAAAUUUCACCUAAUGCUAAAUAUAAGCGAGAGACCGAUAGCGAACAAGUACCGUGAGGGAAAGAUGAAAAGAACUUUGAAAAGAGAGUUAAAUAGUACGUGAAAUUGUUGAAAGGGAAACGAUUGAAGUCAGUCAUGCCGGCGGGAAUCAACUUAGGGGAAACUUUAAGUGCACUUCACGUUUGGCAGGUCAGCGUCGACUUUGGAUAUCAUAAAAUGAUUGGGGGAAGGUAGCUCCUUCGGGAGUGUUAUAGCCCUUGAUAGAUGUGAUGUCUGGGAUCGAGGAUUGCAACGGAUAUCCUUUGGGCUAGCCGCCUGAUCUCUAACUGGUGUUAGGUUACGGACAGCAUGCUGACCGUGAUUUAAUUACUGGUUAAAAGGUUAGAGUGAGUGUAAAUUCGUUAAGGACGUU